This 178-nucleotide unclassified non-coding RNA is filed under the name uncultured Chaetothyriales. RNAcentral's name for it is "sequence contains ITS2". The record is from RNAcentral. Lineage: Eukaryota; Fungi; Ascomycota; Eurotiomycetes; Chaetothyriales.
UUACCCCUCAAGCCUCUAGCUUAGUGUUAAACGGUUUAGCCUUAGUAACGAGGCCCGUUUUAAAAUUAAUAACGGCGGCCUAUUUAACCCCCGGUACACUAAGCUUUCUAACUAAGCACGUAUCGGUUAAAGGGUUGGCAGGACCCAGUCUUCUUCCUUAACCGGAAACUCUUUCCAA